ACGUAGGGUCCGAGCGUUGUCCGGAAUUAUUGGGCGUAAAGAGCUCGUAGGCGGUAUGUCGCGUCUGCUGUGAAAGACCGGGGCUUAACUUCGGUUUUGCAGUGGAUACGGGCAUGCUGGAGGUAGGUAGGGGAGACUGGAAUUCCUGGUGUAGCGGUGAAAUGCGCAGAGAUCGGGAGGAAGGCCGGUGGCGAAGGCGGCGCUCUGGAACAUUUCUGACGCUGAGGCUCGAAAGCGUGGGGAGCAAACAGGA
This 253-nucleotide ribosomal RNA is filed under the name uncultured prokaryote. RNAcentral's name for it is "partial 16S ribosomal RNA". It matches the Rfam family "Bacterial small subunit ribosomal RNA", at positions 525 to 777 of the family's 1533-position model. The record is from RNAcentral.